Molecule: ribosomal RNA, 1346 nt
Filed under: uncultured bacterium
Lineage: Bacteria
Description: partial 16S ribosomal RNA
Rfam family: Bacterial small subunit ribosomal RNA
Source: RNAcentral
GACGAACGCUGGCGGCGUGCUUAACACAUGCAAGUCGAACGGAAAGGCCCUGCUUUUGUGGGGUGCUCGAGUGGCGAACGGGUGAGUAACACGUGAGUAACCUGCCCUUGACUUUGGGAUAACUUCAGGAAACUGGGGCUAAUACCGGAUAGGAGCUCCUGCUGCAUGGUGGGGGUUGGAAAGUUUCGGCGGUUGGGGAUGGACUCGCGGCUUAUCAGCUUGUUGGUGGGGUAGUGGCUUACCAAGGCUUUGACGGGUAGCCGGCCUGAGAGGGUGACCGGCCACAUUGGGACUGAGAUACGGCCCAGACUCCUACGGGAGGCAGCAGUGGGGAAUAUUGCACAAUGGGCGGAAGCCUGAUGCAGCAACGCCGCGUGCGGGAUGACGGCCUUCGGGUUGUAAACCGCUUUCGCCUGUGACGAAGCGUGAGUGACGGUAAUGGGUAAAGAAGCACCGGCUAACUACGUGCCAGCAGCCGCGGUGAUACGUAGGGUGCGAGCGUUGUCCGGAUUUAUUGGGCGUAAAGGGCUCGUAGGUGGUUGAUCGCGUCGGAAGUGUAAUCUUGGGGCUUAACCCUGAGCGUGCUUUCGAUGCGGGUUGACUUGAGGAAUUUAGGGGAGAAUGGAAUUCCUGGUGGAGCGGUGGAAUGCGCAGAUAUCAGGAGGAACACCAGUGGCGAAGGCGGUUCUCUGGGCCUUUCCUGACGCUGAGGAGCGAAAGCGUGGGGAGCGAACAGGCUUAGAUACCCUGGUAGUCCACGCUGUAAACGGUGGGUACUAGGUGUGGGGUCCAUUCCACGGGUUCCGUGCCGUAGCUAACGCUUUAAGUACCCCGCCUGGGGAGUACGGCCGCAAGGCUAAAACUCAAAGGAAUUGACGGGGCCCCGCACAAGCGGCGGAGCAUGCGGAUUAAUUCGAUGCAACGCGUAGAACCUUACCUGGGUUUGACAUGGAUCGGGAGUGCUCAGAGAUGGGUGUGCCUCUUUUGGGGUCGGUUCACAGGUGGUGCAUGGCUGUCGUCAGCUCGUGUCGUGAGAUGUUGGGUUAAGUCCCGCAACGAGCGCAACCCUUGUUCACUGUUGCCAGCACGUUAUGGUGGGGACUCAGUGGAGACCGCCGGGGUCAACUCGGAGGAAGGUGGGGAUGACGUCAAGUCAUCAUGCCCCUUAUGUCCAGGGCUUCACGCAUGCUACAAUGGCUGGUACAGAGAGUGGCGAGCCUGUGAGGGUGAGCGAAUCUCGGAAAGCCGGUCACAGUUCGGAUUGGGGUCUGCAACUCGACCUCAUGAAGUCGGAGUCGCUAGUAAUCGCAGAUCAGCAACGCUGCGGUGAAUACGUUCCCGGGGCU